This 25-nucleotide non-coding RNA is filed under the name Rattus norvegicus (Norway rat). The record is from RNAcentral. Lineage: Eukaryota; Metazoa; Chordata; Mammalia; Rodentia; Muridae.
UUUCAGAGAUGACCACGUACAUGGU